AGGCUGGAGUGCAGUGGUGCAAUCACUGCUCAUGGCAGCCUGAAUCUCCUGGGCUGGAGCAGUCCUCCUGCCUCAGUCCUCCGGGAGCUGGGACUAUAGGCCGCACUACCACACCCAGGGUCUUGCUCUUGCCUGGGGCUGGAGUGCAGGGUGAAGUCACACCUCAUUGCAGCCUCAACCUCCCAGACUCAAGCAAUCCUCCCACCUCAGCAGGCAUAUAUAAAUGGAAUCAUCGAAAUUUAAAAUUUGCACUUCAAAGAACACCAUCAAGAAAGUGAAGACAACCCAGAGAAUGGGAGAAAAUAUUUGCAAUCAUAUAUCUGAUAAAGGACAUGUAUACAGAAUUUUGUAAAACUAUUACAACUGAAUAAUAAGAACAAAUAACACAAUGAAAAAAAUAGGCAAAGUAUUUGGUUAGAUAGUUCUCCAAAGAAGAUAUAUAAUGGCCAAUAAACACAUGAAAAGAUGCCGAACAUCAUUAGCCAUCAGGGAAAUGCAAAUCAAAACGACAGUAAGAUACCACUUCCCACCUACUAGCUUGACCGUAAUCCAGAAGACAGAUUACAAGUAUUGGAAAGGAUGUGAAGAAAUUACAACUUUCAUAACUUGCUGGCAGGAAUGUAAAAUGGUGCAACCAUUUUGGAAAACAGUCUGGCAGUUUCUUCAGUCAGUAAAACAUACCAUAUGACCCAGCAAUUCCACCCCUAGUUGUAUACUUAAGAGAAAUGAAAAUGUGUGCACCAAGAACUUGUAUAUGAAUGUUCAUAGCUGCAAAAUCCAUAACAGUCAUUAUGUGGAAACAACCUAAAUGUCUAUCAGCUGAUGUAUGAAUAAACAAAACAUGCUAUGUUCAUACAAUGGAAUAUUGUUUGGCCAUAGUAAGAAAUGGUACCAAUACAUGCUACAAUGUGAAUGAACCUUAAAAACAUGCUAAGUGAAAGAAGUCAGUCACAGAAAACCACAUAUAAUAUGAUUCUAUUGAUAUGAAAUAUCCAGAAUAGGCAAAUAUACAGAGAUAGAAAGAUUAGUGGUUGCCUAUGGGGAGGGGCUUGGGGAGUGGUAUCUAAAUGGUGCAGUUUCUUUUGGAGGUAGUGAAAGAGUUCUAAAAAAUGACUGGGAGGCCAGGUGCAUGGCUCAGGCCUGUAAUCCCAGCACUUUUGAAGGCUGAGGCAGGAGGAUUGCUCGAGCCAAGGAGAUCAAGAUCAGCCUAGGCAACAUAGCGAGACCCCAUCUCUAUAAAAAAAAUUAAUUAAAGGAAAAAGAUGAUCAGGGCAGUAAAUACACAAGUCUGUGAUUAUACUAAAACCAUUGAAAUGUAAACUUUUAAUGGGUAAAUUGCAUAGUAUUUGGAUUAUAUCUGAAUAAAGCUGUUUUUAGAAAAAUAC
RNAcentral lists this long non-coding RNA (1385 nucleotides) under Homo sapiens (human). RNAcentral's name for it is "HSALNT0251202". The record is from RNAcentral. Lineage: Eukaryota; Metazoa; Chordata; Mammalia; Primates; Hominidae.